GACGAACGCUGGCGGCGUGCUUAACACAUGCAAGUCGAACGGAAAGGCCCUUCGGGGUACUCGAGUGGCGAACGGGGGAGUAACACGUGGGUGAUCUGCCCUGCACUUUGGGAUAAGCCUGGGAAACUGGGUCUAAUACCGAAUAGGACCACGCGCUUCAUGGUGUGUGGGGGAAAGCUUUUGCGGUGGGGGAUGGGCCCGCGGCCUAUCAGCUUGUUGGUGGGGUAAUGGCCUACCAAGGCGACGACGGGUAGCCGGCCUCAGAGGGUGACCGGCCACACUGGGACUGAGAUACGGCCCAGACUCCUACGGGAGGCAGCAGUGGGGAAUAUUGCACAAUGGGCGCAAGCCUGAUGCAGCGACGCCGCGUGAGGGAUGACGGCCUUCGGGUUGUAAACCUCUUUCAAUAGGGACGAAGCGCAAGUGACGGUACCUAUAGAAGAAGCACCGGCCAACUACGUG
Molecule: ribosomal RNA, 462 nt
Filed under: uncultured bacterium
Lineage: Bacteria
Description: partial 16S ribosomal RNA
Rfam family: Bacterial small subunit ribosomal RNA
Source: RNAcentral